GAUGAAGAACGCAGCGAAAUGCGAUAAGUAAUGCGAAUUGCAGAAUUCAGUGAAUCAUCGAAUCUUUGAACGCACAUUGCGCCCGCCAGUAUUCUGGCGGGCAUGCCUGUCUGAGCGUCGUUUCGACCCUCGCGCCCGGCUUCUGUCGGGGGCGGUGUUGGGGAUCGGCCACACCCUUCAGUGGGAGGCCGGCCCCUAAAUUCAGUGGCGACCACGCUGUAGCCUCCCCUGCGUAGUACUAAAACCACCUCGCAGGCGGAGAGCGGUGCGGCCCGCCGUAAAACCCCCCAACUUUUACAAGGUCGACCUCAGAUCAGGUAGGAAUACCCGCUGAGCUUAAGCAUAUCAAUAAGCGGAGGA
RNAcentral lists this unclassified non-coding RNA (360 nucleotides) under soil metagenome. RNAcentral's name for it is "partial contains 5.8S ribosomal RNA, internal transcribed spacer 2, and large subunit ribosomal RNA". The stretch from base 1 to 120 matches the Rfam family "5.8S ribosomal RNA", at positions 35 to 154 of the family's 154-position model. The record is from RNAcentral.